RNAcentral lists this long non-coding RNA (230 nucleotides) under Hordeum vulgare. RNAcentral's name for it is "long non-coding RNA (HVUL_LNC002545)". Lineage: Eukaryota; Viridiplantae; Streptophyta; Magnoliopsida; Poales; Poaceae. The record is from RNAcentral.
CGACGUCGGUUCCUGGUGCCUUCUCGAACAGACACUUUUUCACUUCGUGUCUUUUGUAACUUUAUAUAUAGAUGUACCCAUCAUCAAUAAAGAUUAACUUGAUUCAUUUGUUGUCUCUCGACUUCUCUCUCGAUCUUUAUUUCAACACGUUAUCAGCCACGCUGCUCUCCAUCGAGUGAAUGGACGACGCAUUUAGUCAGUGUCGCCCGCCGGUGUCAUUUUCCGGCACC